Glycine soja is the source of this 2625-nucleotide RNA transcript. It is a transcript of the gene named translation initiation factor eIF-2B subunit delta-like, with no coding region annotated. The transcript is spliced from 7 exons. The record is from RefSeq and is a predicted model, not a curated record. NCBI's taxonomy places the organism in Eukaryota, Viridiplantae, Streptophyta, Magnoliopsida, Fabales, Fabaceae.
AAGUUGGAAAAACGACAAACAAUUUCCUAUUUUUUCUUCUUUUAUUUUUUUUUCUUAUAGUUUCUUGCCUGCUUCAACUUUCCUUUCCAACAUCAAAUCUCGCUCAAAAAAAAUUUCCGAGAAAACAAAAGAAAAGAAACCCUUCCUUCCGUUGUUUUUUUUUUUUUUUUCUUUUUUCUUUUUUCUUGCCACCCCAACAUGAUACCCUCCGAACAUUAUUAGACCCAAACAAGACCUAACCACUUUUUCGGUCAUGGAUGCGCGUCGUGCUCCACGCGCCGUCAUUGACCCUAAGGUCCGUAGGGUCGGGUUCUUCGCUCCACCCGAACCCGACCCGAUCUCAUUCGAAGUCUCUCCCUCCGCCAACUCCCUCUCGCCGGUAAUGAUCCCUCCGCCGCGGCAUUCGUCGGAGAAUCUCGGCCUCCACACUCGUCCCGCCGCGACUUCCCCUUCCGCCCAAGAAUCCUUUGCAGCCGGGAGCUAUUCCAGCUCGUCGGACUUCUUCCCCGCUCCGAUGUCGCCGGCUACGUCGCCUUACUCGAGCAGGAUCGUCGGCGGCGAUGGAGACUUCUUCGCCGGCGGGAAGGCGGCGUCUUCGUUUCCUCGCGGCGGGUUUGACUUGACGGCGACGAUGGCGAGUAGCGUUCCAGCGAGCGAAUUAACCACGGUUUCGGUGGUGAAUGCUGCUUCCCUUUCGAUUGGCGAAAGAAAGAAAGCUGACAAAGGAGGAGGAUCAGCAGUGGAAGUGAAAGACCAAGUUCUGAAUACUAAACAGCAGAAGAAAGAGAAGACUUCAAAGGCUGAAAGACGAGCUCUUCAAGAAGCUCAACGAGCUGCUAAGGCUGCUGCAAAAGCUGAAGGAAACAAGGCAUCUGGAACUCUGGCUUCAGUAAAUGUAAAACCAGCUAAAGCUGCAAAGCCCCCACAGAAAGUUGAUAAUGCUUCGGUUGCAGCCUCUGAGAAGAAAGGGGGUGAUCGUCCACCAGAAAAAGAUAGAAAGAAAGAUGUUCCUCAACCACGUCUGCAAUAUGAUGAUAAGAGCAGAGUGGAGAAAGCCAAACGGCGUGCUGUGGUAAAACAAACUGAAGCUAAGAACAGAGUUGAACUGUUCAGACAUUUGCCCCAGUAUGAACAUGGGAGUCAACUCCCAGAUCUUGAGGCAAAGUUUUUCCAGCUGGGUCCUGUGCAUCCUGCUGUUUAUAAGGUUGGUUUGCAGUAUCUGUCUGGAGAUAUAUCUGGUGGCAAUGCUCGUUGUAUUGCUAUGCUUCAAGCAUUUCAAGAGGCCAUUGAAGACUACAGGGUUCCAUCCGAGAAGACUCUUGUGAGAGACUUAACAGCAAAAAUAAGUAGUUAUGUUUCUUUUCUCAUCGAGUGUCGACCACUUUCUAUCAGCAUGGGCAAUGCAAUUAGAUUUCUCAAAAGUCGAAUUGCCAAGCUACCUUUGACGCUGUCUGAGUCAGAAUCAAAAACCUCUCUUCAAUCAGAUAUUGAGCGUUUUAUAUAUGAGAAAAUUAUACUUGCCAACAAGGUGAUAGUCAAGCAUGCUGUUACAAAAAUAAGAGAUGGUGAUGUUCUUCUUACUUAUGGGUCUUCAUCGGCGGUUGAAAUGAUACUGUUACAUGCACACGGGUUAGGGAAACAGUUUCGAGUUGUAGUGGUAGACUCUCGUCCAAAACUUAGAGGGAAACUUUUGCUUCGUAGGCUAGUGGAGAAAGGUCUUAGCUGUACAUACAUUCAUAUAAAUGCUGUUUCCUACAUAAUGAAUGAAGUUACUCGAGUCUUUCUGGGUGCUUCAUCAGUGUUGUCUAAUGGAACAGUUUAUUCAGGAGUUGGUACUGCUUGUGUUGCAAUGGUUGCCCAUGCAUUCCAUGUCCCUGUUUUAGUAUGUUGUGAGGCUUAUAAAUUUCAUGAAAGGGUACAGCAUGAUUCCAUAUGCUCAAAUGAACUUGGUGAUCCAGAUGUCAUUUCUACGGUUCAGAGUAGAGAGGAUGUCAACCACUUGGAAGCUUGGGCCAAUACUGAAAAUCUGCAACUUCUAAACCUGAUUUCUCUAUAUUGAUGCCAGCUAUGAUGCUACACCUUCAGAUUACGUUUCCAUGAUAAUCACAGAUUAUGGCAUGGUCCCACCCACAAGUGUACCGGUAAUUGUAAGGGAAUAUAGCAGAGAACAGGUGUGGAUAUGAAUGCUUCAAAUGUGGAUCAUCUCAAUUUUGUGUGCAUGCAGCGAAUCCCUAUUUUAGCAAUAAUUUUUUUCAAAGUUUGGGAUGAUGCAUCUUUCUGUAUCAUUUUCUUGUCCUGGAAUAAUGUAACGGCCCUCUUGUUCUUUUCGAAAUUUUGAUCGCUUGUCUGGAUUCACCUGUCGCAGUGAAGAGUGUGGAUUGUCGCCUCUCCAGACAGAUUUUGGCCAUGCAUUCUCUGUAACAGUUUUUUUUUUCUUUUUCUUUUUUGUUCUAGUGGUCUUCAAAUUUUGGAUAGUUGUUCGGUCAGUUUUGGUGGUUAUUAUUCUAUACCCAGUUUUUUAUAUCUUUGAUUAUAAAAACCAUCACCAUCACCACGAGUUACUGGUGAAAUUGUCACUGAAUAAUUUUGUUUCAUGUGAAUGCUUUAAGUGGGAUACGUAGAAAA